Molecule: long non-coding RNA, 420 nt
Organism: Biomphalaria glabrata
Lineage: Eukaryota; Metazoa; Mollusca; Gastropoda; Planorbidae
Exons: 2
Source: RefSeq, a predicted model, not a curated record
UCACGUGAUGACGCUCUAAAGCCCGGAUGAAGCGUGUAGCUCCAAGUCAGUCUUGUACGGAACGUGUUAGUGUAAAGAUGUACUAGAGUCGGUUGUAAAUAUUUGUAGGGAUAAGAUCUAACUUAUAUUCCGCGGACGUCGCCACUGAAAUCAAAUUGUGUGAUCCAGUCACGUGACCAGUUUUGUUUUUCUUUAUCACGUCUUUUUGUUUUGUUUUUAGUUUGGCGAAUCAUCACGUCAUGGGGGAAGUGGACUAAACAGUCAUCAGACAUUGAAGUUUUGUUCAGGCUGAUGGAAAGUGGACCAGUGCUUUGGCCUGGAUGUUAUCAGACCACUAACCUGUGGAUCAAACUAGUUUGAACAAUUGACAUUUAGGGUAGGAGCAAGGGCAUCGUACUAAAAUAAAAGGUUCUCAAACUA